CCUACGGGAGGCAGCAGUGGGGAAUAUUGCACAAUGGGCGCAAGCCUGAUGCAGCGACGCCGCGUGAGGGAUGACGGCCUUCGGGUUGUAAACCUCUUUCAGUAGGGAAGAAGCGAAAGUGACG
RNAcentral lists this ribosomal RNA (124 nucleotides) under uncultured Arthrobacter sp. RNAcentral's name for it is "partial 16S ribosomal RNA". It matches the Rfam family "Bacterial small subunit ribosomal RNA", at positions 338 to 474 of the family's 1533-position model. Lineage: Bacteria; Bacillati; Actinomycetota; Actinomycetes; Micrococcales; Micrococcaceae. The record is from RNAcentral.